GUUGAGUACCUACAUUAAGGUGAUAAGCAGGUGCGAGUGCAUUUCGCUCGCAUUUUGCAAUGUCAUAAAAAUUUACUACACACGCCUAUCUUCACACAUAUACCUACAUACUUCAUGCAACUUAACGAUUGAAAUUGAAUUUAGUUGAAAAUUGAAAGAUUUUUUUCUAUCGAUGGGUGAUAAGGUGUGUAAUAAAUCUGUCGUUAUGUUGUCACUCAUUAUAAAAAUAAGUACAGGUACGGUACUUCUACACACGAUUUUACCGCAGGAUAUCCGCACUUGAUUUCAUAGUUGCAGAGGUAAAGUACAUAUAUGUAGGUAUAGUAAAGAAAACUCUCGCACGUGAUCUUUCAAUUAAAUAAUAUGUCUUCGGAAAAAAAAUAUUUUCGCUUGUUCCUACCGCUUUAAUUUAACGUACGAUUUAACAAUACUUUGUUAUACUGUAUAUAGAAACGCAUUUCGGAGUUUUAAUUAAAACCGUUACAUACUUGCAAAAUUCGUUCAUUUGUUUCGUUCUAAGAGAUGGACACGUCGCGUUUUUUUCUUCUGUUUUUCUUCUUUUUUUUUUUUUAUUGUCCCAUAUUUUAACAUAAACGUAAAGUAUUUAUGUAGGAAUUUCAUUCGUUUCCGUAUUCGUACUUCCUUAGAUGUGAAUACUUAUACUUACUUAUACCACACCAUACCUUAUAUAAUUGCACUAAGAAGUGAAUAUAAUUGUUAUACUAAAUGGUGCGAAUAAUGCUUUAUAAAAGGAAGUUCACGCCUUUAGAUGAAUAUGAUUUAUACGAGCGUGUUAAAGGUUAAAUAAAUUUGCGAAAUUUAUUUUCGUGUUGCAUACCUUAAUACUUUAUAUUAUAGGUACUUUUAAGGAUAAUGUUUUGCCUAAAUAUGACUGCGCAUUCAUGUUGCGAGAUGAUCGAUUCAUUAAACGCAUGCAUCCGAGUGAAUUGCUAUCAACUUUGUAUAGAGAAUGGGGAGUUCCUACUUCAUUUUUUGGUAUUUUUUGCAAAAAAAAAAUUGAAUAGAUAACUUCAGAAACGGUUUAUGUUGAAUGCAGUCAUUCUUUUCCAAACACAUAAAUGUUGAAAAAAAAUAAAAUAACAGUAUCAGAAAUACUUAUUAAGCUAAGCAAACUUUAUACCCAUAAAGUAUGAAAUACUCUUCGAUUUCUAAAUAAUUAAGGGAAAAUAAAUAAGUAUGCGAAUAAACUUGAAAAAUACGUAUAGGUAUCUGUUUUCUAUUCUUUUUCAUCAGUUCGCAUUAUUUAUAUUCAUGAUCAAGGAUACCCCAGCAGACAUGAAUUUCCGCAAAACAUAUUUGCAUCAGAAACUCUCAAACUGCAGCUUUUAAAACGCACAUUGAAAAAAAAAACACACGCUUCAUCUCUUUUAUAAGGUGCCUGGGUAAAUGAGUAUAUUAAAUACACACGAUAAAUAUUACACAUUAAUUUGAUUAUUAUAAGCGGAAAAAAAUUAGCAUACAUUUCA
This is a long non-coding RNA of Planococcus citri (citrus mealybug), 1487 nucleotides long. RefSeq lists it as uncharacterized. Lineage: Eukaryota; Metazoa; Arthropoda; Insecta; Hemiptera; Pseudococcidae. The record is from RefSeq and is a predicted model, not a curated record. The transcript has 3 exons.